This is a long non-coding RNA of Bactrocera latifrons, 583 nucleotides long. RefSeq lists it as uncharacterized. The transcript is spliced from 4 exons. NCBI's taxonomy places the organism in Eukaryota, Metazoa, Arthropoda, Insecta, Diptera, Tephritidae. The record is from RefSeq and is a predicted model, not a curated record.
UAACGUUUCACAAAAAACUAGUUAAAAUUAAAUUUAAAAAGUACUUAAACUAUUAAUAAUGUUUUGUUUGGCGUUUUGAUCCACAAGAUAUUAAGAAAUGUUAAUUAGUGAAAUUGAAAAACAUUAAUGCAUCUGGGACAAAACUCAGUUGUGUUACAGGGACAGAAAUCAAAAGAAACUGGAGAGGAGGCUCAUUGUCGCAAAAGGUUUAAAUCUUUGCGUGACCGCUACGCCAUAGAAUUAAAAUUGCAGCACCAGACCAGUGGAAAGGAAGUAGCACCUUUAGGAUGAACUGGUAUUUCGCGCUCUUAACCUUAAAAAAGUCGCACUGAGAAAGAAAGUAUAUACCCAAGACAACAACAAAUGUAAUAAGUGACGCGGAAAUUGAUUUGGAAUCAUCAUUUAACCUUGAUUUCAAUCAAAGCGGGGAAAUAAUUUUAGAAAAACAAAAUACAGUGCCAGUUCCUCCUAAGAAAAAUAAGCAAACGGAAAAGAAUUUAGAAUGCGUUCGUAGAGAAUGUGAGCGAGUUUUUGAAAAAAAAGCCUCAUGAUAAUAUCUUGGAAGCAAUAGGUUCUGCAAUAU